CUUGCCCUGUGCUGGGCAGGUCCUUCAGCCCCUUCUGUCCUCCCUUCUCCCUGGCAGUGGACAACAUCCUCAUCCCAGAGAACCGGGCCCAUUUGUCCCCAGAGGUGCAGCUGAAGGAGCUGCUGGAGAAACUGGACCUGGUGAGCGCCAUGCGGUCCAGUGGGGCCCGCACCCGCCGUGUCCGCCUGCUACGCCGGGAGAUCAAUGCCCUUCGGCAGAAGCUGGCACAGCCACCACCACCACAGCCACCAUCACUCAACAAGACAGUAUCCAAUGGGGAGCUGCCAGCAGGGCCCCAGGGGGAUGCAGCUGUGCUGGAGCAGGCCUUGCAGGAGGAGCCAGAAGACGAUGGGGACAGAGGUUCUCUUUUUUUCUAAUAGAUGACUCCAAACUGCCUCCUCCGCCAACCCUGGAGCCCACUGGGCCUGCACCUUCCUUGUCUGAGCAAGAAUCUCCCCCGGAGCCCCCUACUCUGAAACCCAUCAAUGAUAGCAAACCUCCAGGCCGGUUUCUAAAGCCCAGAAAGGUGGAAGAAGAUGAGCUCUUGGAAAAAUCACCACUGCAGCU
This 567-nucleotide small RNA is filed under the name Pongo abelii (Sumatran orangutan). RNAcentral describes it as "retained intron". The record is from RNAcentral. Lineage: Eukaryota; Metazoa; Chordata; Mammalia; Primates; Hominidae.